UACGGAGGGUGCAAGCGUUAUCCGGAUUUACUGGGUUUAAAGGGUGUGUAGGCGGCCCCGCAAGUCGGCCGUGAAAUCUCCGGGCUCAACUCGGAGGGGUCGGGCGAGACUGCGGGGCUCGAGGUGGGCAGAGGGCAGUGGAAUUCCGGGUGUAGUGGUGGAAUGCGUAGAGAUCCGGAGGAACACCAGUGGCGAAGGCGGCUGCCUGGGCCUGGCCUGACGCUGAGGCGCGAAAGCGUGGGGAGCAAGCCGG
RNAcentral lists this ribosomal RNA (253 nucleotides) under uncultured bacterium. RNAcentral describes it as "partial 16S ribosomal RNA". It matches the Rfam family "Bacterial small subunit ribosomal RNA", at positions 524 to 776 of the family's 1533-position model. The record is from RNAcentral.